Molecule: ribosomal RNA, 500 nt
Filed under: uncultured bacterium
Lineage: Bacteria
Description: partial 16S ribosomal RNA
Rfam family: Bacterial small subunit ribosomal RNA
Source: RNAcentral
AUUGAACGCUGGCGGAAUGCUUUACACAUGCAAGUCGAACGGCAGCACGGACUUCGGUCUGGUGGCGAGUGGCGAACGGGUGAGUAAUGUAUCGGAACGUGCCCAGUCGUGGGGGAUAACGUAGUGAAAAUUACGCUAAUACCGCAUACGUUCUAUGGAUGAAAGCGGGGGAUCGCAAGACCUCGCGCGAUUGGAGCGGCCGAUAUCAGAUUAGGUAGUUGGUGGGGUAAAGGCCCACCAAGCCAACGAUCUGUAGCUGGUCUGAGAGGACGACCAGCCACACUGGAACUGAGACACGGUCCAGACUCCUACGGGAGGCAGCAGUGGGGAAUUUUGGACAAUGGGCGAAAGCCUGAUCCAGCCAUUCCGCGUGCGGGAUGAAGGCCCUCGGGUUGUAAACUGCUUCUGUACAGAACGAAAAGGUUUCUACUAAUACUAGGAGCUCAUGACGGUACUGUAAGAAUAAGCACCGGCUAACUACGUGCCAGCCGCCGCAGUAA